CCUACGGGAGGCAGCAGUGGGGAAUAUUGCACAAUGGGCGCAAGCCUGAUGCAGCGACGCCGCGUGCGGGAUGGAGGCCUUCGGGUUGUAAACCGCUUUUGUUAAAGGGCAAGGCACGGUCUUUGGCCGUGUUGAGUGGAUUGUUCGAAUAAGCACCGGCUCACUACGUGCCAGCGGCCGCGGUAAUAAGUCGGGUGCAAGCGUUAUCCGGGUUUAUUGGGCGGAAAGGGCUCGUAGGCGGUUCGUCGCGUCCGGGGGGAAAGUCCAUGGCUUAACGGUGGAACCGCUCCGGGUACGGGCGGGCUUGAGUGCUGUAAGGGAGACUGGAAUUCCCGGUGUAACGGUGGAAUGUGUAGAGAUCGGGAAGAACACCAAUGGCGAAGGCAGGUCUCUGGGCCGUUACUGACGCUGAGGAGCGAAAGCGUGGGGAGCGAACAGGAUUAGAUACCCUUGUAGUC
RNAcentral lists this ribosomal RNA (458 nucleotides) under uncultured bacterium. Its description in RNAcentral is "partial 16S ribosomal RNA". It matches the Rfam family "Bacterial small subunit ribosomal RNA", at positions 338 to 795 of the family's 1533-position model. The record is from RNAcentral.